UACGGAGGGGGCUAGCGUUGUUCGGAAUUACUGGGCGUAAAGCGCACGUAGGCGGACUACUAAGUCAGGGGUGAAAUCCCGGGGCUCAACCCCGGAACUGCCUUUGAUACUGAUAGUCUCGAGUCCGGAAGAGGUGAGUGGAAUUCCGAGUGUAGAGGUGAAAUUCGUAGAUAUUCGGAAGAACACCAGUGGCGAAGGCGGCUCACUGGACUGGUAUUGACGCUGAGGUGCGAAAGCGUGGGGAGCAAACAGG
RNAcentral lists this ribosomal RNA (253 nucleotides) under uncultured bacterium. Its description in RNAcentral is "partial 16S ribosomal RNA". It matches the Rfam family "Bacterial small subunit ribosomal RNA", at positions 524 to 776 of the family's 1533-position model. The record is from RNAcentral.